Oncorhynchus tshawytscha (Chinook salmon) is the source of this 2753-nucleotide long non-coding RNA. Lineage: Eukaryota; Metazoa; Chordata; Actinopteri; Salmoniformes; Salmonidae. The record is from Ensembl.
UGGGGAUCAUAUUUAGGCAGCCAUUUCCCCACUAUGUUUUGUGGGAUGUUGUUUUUGUGUUGUUGCCUUUGAGCACUUCAUUUACAUCACGUUCGGUGUUUCUUUAUUUUGUAUUGUUCUAAGUUCCACUUCAAUAAAUAUGUGGAACCCAGAUCACGCAGUGCUUUGGUCCGAGUAUGCUUCCAACGAUGAUCGUGACACAUUGUCCAUUUGGAAGACCCAUUUGCAACCAAGCUUUAACUUCCUUACUGAUGUCUUGAGAUGUUGCUUCAAUAUAUCAACAAUUUUCCUUCCUCAUGACGCCAUCUAUUUUGUGAACUGCAUCAGUCCCUCCUGCAGCAAAGCACACCAACAACAUGAUGCUGCCACCCCUGUGCUUCACGGUUGGGAUGGUGUUCUUCGGCUUGCAAGCCUCCCCCUUUUUCCUCCAAACAUAAUGAUGGUCAUUAUGGCCAAACAGUUCUAUUUUUGUUUCAUCAGACCAGAGGACAUUUCUCCAAAAAUUACAAUCUUUGUCCCCAUGUGCAGUUGCAAACCGUAGUCUGGCUUUUUUAUGGCGGUUUUGGAGCAGUGGCUUCUUCCUUGCUGAGAGGCCUUUCAGGUUAUGUUGAUAUAGGACUCGUUUUACUGUGGAUAUAGAUACUUUUGUACCUGUUUCCUCCAGCAUCUUCACAAGGUCCUUUGCUGAUGUUCUGGGAUUGAUGCGCACUUUUCGCACACAAGUACGUUCAUCUCGAGGAGACAGAAUGCGUCUCCUUCCUGAGCGGUAUGAAGGCUGCGUGGUCCCAUGGUGUUUAUACUUGCGUACUAUUGAUUGCACUGAUGAAAGUGGUAUCAGGUGUUUGGAAAUUGCUCCCAAGGAUAAACCAGACUUGUGGAGGUCUACAAUAUUUUUUCUGAAGUCUUGGCUGAUUUCUUUUGAUUUUCCCAUGAGUUUGAAGUUCGAAGGUAGGCCUUGAAAUACAUCUACAGGUACACCUCCAAUAGACUCAAAUUAUGUCAAUUAGCCUAUCAGAAGUUUCUAAAGCCAUGACAUCCUUUCUGGAAUUUUCCAAGCUGUUUAAAGGCACAGUCAAUUUAUUGUAUGUAAACUUCUGACCCACUGGAAUUGUGAUACAGUGAAAUAAUCUGUCUGUAAACAAUUGUUGGAAAAAUUACUUGUGUCAUGCACAAAGUAGAUGUCCUAACCGACUUUCCAGAACUAUAGUUUAUUCACAAGAAAUUUGUGGAGUGGUUGAAAAAUGAGUUUUAAUGACUCAAACCUAAGUGUAUGUAAACUUCCGAGUUCAACAAUAUGUCUCAGUCUGUGAGUCAUGCCGUGGGUAGAGGUCGUUCCCAUGCUGGUUGUGUUGUUUCCCUGCUGGUAGAGGUGGAACUCCACAGAGGUGACUGGAAUGAAGAGGAGGCUUUGGUGUCUGUCUCUACCCUACCGCCUGGUGAGUGAGGUGUCUGUCUCUACCCUACCGCCUGGUGAGUGAGGUUUCUGUCUCUACCCUACCGCCUGGUGAGUGAGGUUUCUGUCUCUACCCUACCGCCUGGUGAGUGAGGUGUCUGUCUCUACCCUACCGCCUGGUGAGUGAGGUGUCUGUCUCUACCCUACCGCCUGGUGAGUGAGGUGUCUGUCUCUACCCUACCGCCUGGUGAGUGAAGUGUCUGUCUCUACCGCCUGGUGAGUGAAGUGUCUGUCUCUACCCUACCGCCUGGUGAGUGAGGUGUCUGUCUCUACCCUACCGCCUGGUGAGUGAGGUUUCUGUCUCUACCCUACCGCCUGGUGAGUGAGGUGUCUGUCUCUACCCUACCGCCUGGUGAGUGAGGUUUCUGUCUCUACCCUAUCGCCUGGUGAGUGAGGUGUCUGUCUCUACCCUAUCGCCUGGUGAGUGAGGUUUCUGUCUCUACCCUAUCGCCUGGUGAGUGAGGUGUCUGUCUCUACCCUACCGCCUGGUGACUAAGGUCUUCAAUGUGGAACAGAAACAUCACUAAACAAUGUUAGGCCAGGGAUGACCAGGGGUGUCCUGUGUUAUCUAAACAUUGUGUGUGAGUUAUCUGGAUGUUGUGUGUAUCCUCUGUGCUAGACUGUAGGGAAGAGACGUACCCCUGUACCAGGAUGUACUCUGUCCACCGGCCCAUCAAGAGAUGCAUCCACUCCCUCUGCCUUUACAGCCUCCCUCUAUGUGAUCAACAAGGAGAUAUGUGUUAGAACUGUCUGCCAACAGGAUGAGUACCUGAAGGCUGAGCUCUGCAGGGAGCGGUCCGGCUGGCCCAAACGCUUCCAGAGGUCAACCACCAAUAAGAAACGCUGUCACAAUCGCCGCGGCAAUCCCAAAAUCUGGGAAAACAAGGCCUGAUGGGCCCAAGACGGAGGAGUUAGAAGGAGGGGUGGAGGAGGAAGGAGAGGAGGACAGAAAGAGAGAAGGAGGGGUGGAGGAGGAAGGAGAGAAGGAGUAGGAGGGAGGACACCCUUGGAGACAGAACACUGGGUUGUCUCCAUAAAAAGACCCGGAAACACCAUAAAUUCCCCGCUCAACACCUGGUGCUAGCCUGUGCCUUAAUACACAACCACAACCACGCACGCACACACACAAACAAUAUAUAUUUAAAACACAGUCCACGUGACUCCAGUUAAGAGCAGUCUGAGUCAUAUUUUUCAUUUCUUCUAUUGGACCUGUGUUUUAAUAGAACUGUCUGUGAAUAUCAGGGGAGAAAUCACUCCCCACAGAUUGGACCUGUGUUUUAAUAGAACUGUCUGUGAAUAU